RNAcentral lists this ribosomal RNA (152 nucleotides) under uncultured bacterium. RNAcentral's name for it is "partial 16S rRNA". It matches the Rfam family "Bacterial small subunit ribosomal RNA", at positions 342 to 511 of the family's 1533-position model. The record is from RNAcentral.
AGCGAGGUAGGGGGUAACUUUUCCGCAAUGGGCGAAAGCCUGACGGAGCAAUGCCGCGUGGAGGUGGAAGGCCUACGGGUCGUCAACUUCUUUUCUCGGAGAAGAAACAAUGACGGUAUCUGAGGAAUAAGCAUCGGCUAACUCUGUGGCAG